This 247-nucleotide unclassified non-coding RNA is filed under the name rhizosphere metagenome. RNAcentral describes it as "partial ribosomal RNA internal transcribed spacer region". The record is from RNAcentral.
GUAGGUGAACCUGCGGAAGGAUCAUUAUUGAAUGAACAUGGAGUCGGUUGUCGCUGGCCCCUUUACCGGGGCAUGUGCACGCCUUCUCUAUUCAUCCACACACACCUGUGAACUUGUGAGACGGAUAGUAGUCCCCUAGGGGGCGAGGUCCGUCUGCUAAUACAUAAACUCUAAUAAUAUAAAUUCGAAUGUCAUUUGAUGUAACGCAUCUAUAAACUAAGUUUCAACAACGGAUCUCUUGGCUCUC